AAGAUAGAUUCGCUCACUCCCUCCUGCCGCCUCACACCUCGCACCUCACCACCACCACCACAACCACCACUACUACAACUACAACCACCACCACUACUACAACUACCACCACCACCUCGCCACACGCUAUUCUGUAUCCUGACCUAACGAGCAAACUGACCUAACCUAACCUAACCUAACCUGAUUUAAUUGAACUAUCAAGCUAAUCUGACAAGCACUUAACCUAACCAACCUAACAUUACGUAAUCUAACAUAAGCUAAUCUAACUUAACCUUCUAACCUAACCUAACCCAUCUUAACCUAACGUAACAUAGCUUAAUCUGACCUAACCUAACCUAACCUCACCACCUCACACACUCAUUCUGCACCGUGACUCAACUUGACCUAACCUAACGUAACUUCACCUAACCUUUACCACCUCACACACACUCACUCCGCACCGUGGCCCAACUAACCUAACUUGACCUCGCCUGACCUGACGUAACCAUGGUGGACGUGAUCGCAAUCCUGGGGCUGUCCGUGGCGGUGGUGGUGCUGGUGUGGCUGGCGACCUGUGGGACUACCUGCCGCCCUCCUUGGAAGUGCUGCAGGCGUCGCAAUCAAGCCCAAGACGUGGUGACGAUACAAGUGGACCUGAGGAGUGGCGAGGUACGAACAUGCACCAACAGUCUGAGCGCGGCCUUCUCCCAGUCACCCCUGCACAUCACACAGGUCUCCAGAUUGUCACAGCAAGGCAUGCAGGAUGAGGAGAAGGUAACGCCGGGGACUCCCACACGCACGCACACCUCGCUCACCACCACAGCCACGCAGACUCGCUUCUCCUCGCCUUCCAUCCUCAGCACGACAGCGUCAGAAUACUCGUCGGAAGUCGCGCCGCUUGACAAGAGCAUGUGGGAGAGUCUAAGCCCGUCCACCAGUCCCACGAGCACUGAACGCUCCCUCUCCAACACGUCAGGUUACAUCAAUACCACGUACUUCGAGGAGGCCACACAGGCGACCAGAGAGCUCCUACACAGUCCCGCCUCGCUCAGCAUCCGAGAGGCUCCCAAGGCAGGGGUGUUGAUAGAGCUGGAAAGGCUGGACGGCCGCACCAGCUCCUCGUCUCUCCCGUUCACCUCAGGGUCUUCAGAUGACUCCAGCCUGACCAGAAGCACCUCGACGCUUCUUGCAAAAUCAGAGUCUUGUAUCUUCCCUGAUUUGCUGGAUUCUGGUGUGUCUCCCUGUCCUCCCUGCCUGGACACUGACGAAAACAAGGAAAAUAUUGACCCUGACGAGAACAAGGAGAACAUUGACCCAAAUGCCAUCCGCCCUUCGUGUUCUGGCGUAGCAUUGAACCCUGAACUCCCUGAACGCACUCUUAAGCAGACCCCUGAACGUGCCCCAGAGCCAACCACUUCACUAAAAAUGGAUGGAGAGAGGCAGAAUCUAUUACCUCGGUCUGUGGAGUGCGAGGCGGGACCACUACCAGACUCACAGCAGGACCCACAGCCAGACUCGUCCACCUCACCCACCACUCCCGCCUCCCCCGCCUCGCCUGCCGCCAAGGAGGAGGAGGAGGACGCCCCGGUGCCAGACUCAGACAUAGAGAGUUAUCACACCUGCGAGGACAACGCCAGUGACAUGGAGGAGGACACAAACACCAAGGAAACGAUUGACUUGAAGAAUGACUGUGAUGUUUUGGGUGUGCUGAGUGAGUGAGUGAGUGACUGAUAAAGUGCCCAAAAGAGUGAGUGAGAAACCAUUGCCUUUGCUACUGAAUAUGAUGUUUGAGUGAGUGUGUGUGUGUGUGUGUAUGUGUGUGUAUGUAGAGUAUUUUUAAGGUUUUAGAAUUAAUUAUGGUAAGAUUCCUACGAACAAGCGAGUGUAUGUGUGUGUACGAGUGUAUGUAGAGUAUUUUUAAGGUUUUAGAGUUAACUAUAGUAAGAUUCCUACGAGCACUGUCCUGGUGUGAGUCUUUCGGUCAGUUAACGUUACUUUAGCAUGUGUUUUAUUGACUGACCAAGCUCCUGCGGCUGAUUCUGCUUCCUAUGUAUGUUCUGAGCAUAAUCUGAACCUUUUUAAUCAUGACCAUGUGGAACUUCCUAUUGUGUCUCGGGAAAGUCUCAGUGGCUGGAUUUGUUACUUACUUUGUGUAUUCUGAGCAUAUGAGCCUUUAAUUUUAUCAUAUCGUGGGACUUGUUGUAUUUUGGGAUGGUUUUACAGUCACAUUCAGAAACGUCUUGCUCUCACUACAAGUUUUCGCUGUUUUUUUUUUUUUUUUUACUUUGUGUAUUCUGAGCAUAUGAGCAUUUUAUUAUUAUUAUUUUUUUUUUUAUCAACAUGGCAUUUAUUGUUGUAUCUUGGGAAGGUUUUAGUCAUAUUCAGAAACGCCUUGCACUCUUACAACGACAUUUUUUCAAGUCCCCGUAGACAACUAGCUAGGUUUUUCAUGACAGUUUCUCAUUAUAAUGUACCAGAAAUCUUGCUAAUCCAUCACCAGAACUUUAAAAAUACCCUUAAAAACAUGAGUAGCUUUAACUAUAGUCGCCGUGAGAAAGCAUAGCGUUUCUGAAUACUGGUUUUAGUACUGUGGUGUCACGGGAAGGUUUUAUGAAGUGUAUCAGAUUGACGAACGCGGGAAGGUUUUAUGAAGUGUAUCAGAUUGACGAACGCGGGAAGGUUUUAUGAAGUGUAUCAGAUUGACGAACGCGGGAAGGUUUUAUGAAGUGUAUCAGAUUGACGAACGCAAAACAAUAAAUCACAACACGA
RNAcentral lists this unclassified non-coding RNA (2748 nucleotides) under Portunus trituberculatus (swimming crab). Its description in RNAcentral is "uncharacterized LOC123507789, transcript variant X1". Lineage: Eukaryota; Metazoa; Arthropoda; Malacostraca; Decapoda; Portunidae. The record is from RNAcentral.